UACAGGGGGUGCAAACGUUGCUCGGAAUCAUUGGGCGUAAAGCGCACGUAGGCGGUCUGUUAUGUCGGAUGUGAAAACCCUUGGCUUAACUGAGGAAGUGCAUCCGAAACUGGCAGGCUAGAGUACUAAAGAGGGUCGCGGAAUUCCCGGUGUAGAGGUGAAAUUCGUAGAUAUCGGGAGGAACACCGGUGGCGAAGGCGGCGACCUGGGUAGAUACUGACGCUGAGGUGCGAAAGCGUGGGGAGCAAACAGG
Molecule: ribosomal RNA, 253 nt
Filed under: uncultured bacterium
Lineage: Bacteria
Description: partial 16S ribosomal RNA
Rfam family: Bacterial small subunit ribosomal RNA
Source: RNAcentral